UGAGUUUGAAGCCGGGGCUUCGAGCUGGCGGAAACGCAUGUGCACGGCCCCGCGCUCAAUCCACUCAACCCCUGUGCACUCUAUGGGAGCUAGUAGCCGGAUCUAACACUUGGAGAGGGGAGGCAAGUAGUCCUUAUUUACUUAGGACGAACACUUCUCUUUGAACGGUGCGCCGGCGAACACUUCAAUUUAUUUAUCAACCAUAACUUGUUAUGUUGAAUGUAUUACUCCUCGUGAGUGAAAUAAUAUACAACUUUCAACAACGGAUCUCUUGGCUCUCGCAUCGAUGAAGAACGCAGCGAAAUGCGAUAAGUAAUGUGAAUUGCAGAAUUCAGUGAAUCAUCGAAUCUUUGAACGCACCUUGCGCCCCUUGGUAUUCCGAGGGGCAUGCCCGUUUGAGUGUCAUGUUCAUCUCAAUCUCCAAGUCUUUGACUCGGGGUAUUGGACUUGAAGGUUGCUGGCCCCCUUGUGACCGGCUCCUUUGAAAUGCAUUAGCUGGGCUUUGACUCGCGUUUGUUACGGUGUAAUAGUAACUUGUUCACCGGGGCGCUUGUCUAGUGGGUCCGCUUCUAAUUGUCUUCGGACAAGACGCUUGCUCGUCUUUACUUGACCUUUUGACCUCAAAUCGGGUAGGAUUACCCGCUGAACUUAAGCAUAUCAAUAAGCGGAGGAAAAGAAACUAACAAGGAUUCCCCUAGUAACUGCGAGUGAAGCGGGAAGAGCUCAAAUUUGGAAUCUGGCGGUCUUCGGCCGUCCGAGUUGUAAUCUGGAGAAGCGUUUUCCGCGCUGGACCGUGCACAAGUCUCCUGGAACGGAGCGUCAUAGAGGGUGAGAAUCCCGUCCAUGGCACGGACGCCCAGUGCUUUGUGAUACGCUCUCGAAGAGUCGAGUUGUUUGGGAAUGCAGCUCAAAAUGGGUGGUAAAUUCCAUCUAAAGCUAAAUAUUGGCGAGAGACCGAUAGCGAACAAGUACCGUGAGGGAAAGAUGAAAAGCACUUUGGAAAGAGAGUUAAACAGUACGUGAAAUUGUUGAAAGGGAAACGCUUGAAGUCAGUCGCGUCCGACAGAACUCAGCCUUGCUUCGGCCUGGUGUACUUUCUGUCGGACGGGUCAACAUCAGUUUGGACCGGUGGAAAAAGGCAAGGGGAAUGUAGCGCCGCUUCGGUGGCGUGUUAUAGCCCCUCGUCGUAUACAUCGGUACGGACUGAGGACCGCAGCACGCCCUUGUGGCCGGGGG
Molecule: ribosomal RNA, 1236 nt
Filed under: Phellinus sp. M20307EM2CC1169
Lineage: Eukaryota; Fungi; Basidiomycota; Agaricomycetes; Hymenochaetales; Hymenochaetaceae
Description: eukaryotic LSU rRNA
Rfam family: Eukaryotic large subunit ribosomal RNA (bases 616-1236)
Source: RNAcentral